ACUCAAGUUUCUGUAUUCCUGCCCAUUUCUCUGAUAGAACAGCAUCUUGGCCAAUUUAGUAGGGAGCGGGGAAACUGAGUCAUGACCUGUGACCACUGUUCUUUCCUGGAGUUGCCUUAUUAGCAUUGGAUGUCAUAUUUGCACUAUACAU
Long non-coding RNA from Gavialis gangeticus (Gharial), 151 nucleotides. RefSeq lists it as uncharacterized. The transcript is spliced from 3 exons. NCBI's taxonomy places the organism in Eukaryota, Metazoa, Chordata, Crocodylia, Gavialidae. The record is from RefSeq and is a predicted model, not a curated record.